GUCCCCAUCGUCUAGAGGCCUAGGACAUCGCCCUUUCACGGCGGUAACGGGGGUUCGACUCCCCCUGGGGACGCCA
RNAcentral lists this transfer RNA (76 nucleotides) under Burkholderiales bacterium. RNAcentral describes it as "tRNA-Glu". It matches the Rfam family "tRNA". From Rfam's summary of the family: Transfer RNA (tRNA) molecules are approximately 80 nucleotides in length. Their secondary structure includes four short double-helical elements and three loops (D, anti-codon, and T loops). The record is from RNAcentral. RNAcentral also lists the same sequence under 3 other names. Lineage: Bacteria; Pseudomonadati; Pseudomonadota; Betaproteobacteria; Burkholderiales.